This 73-nucleotide transfer RNA is filed under the name Camelus bactrianus (Bactrian camel). It matches the Rfam family "tRNA". From Rfam's summary of the family: Transfer RNA (tRNA) molecules are approximately 80 nucleotides in length. Lineage: Eukaryota; Metazoa; Chordata; Mammalia; Artiodactyla; Camelidae. RNAcentral also lists the same sequence under 2 other names. The record is from Rfam by way of RNAcentral.
GAGGGUAUAGCUCAAGUGGUAUAGCAUGUGCUUAACAUGCACGAGGUCCUGGGUUCAAUGCCCAUUGCCUCCU